UUUAUUGGAGAGUUUGAUCCUGGCUCAGGACGAACGCUGGCGGCGUGCCUAAUACAUGCAAGUCGAGCGGACCUGAUGGAGUGCUUGCACUCCUGAUGGUUAGCGGCGGACGGGUGAGUAACACGUAGGCAACCUGCCCGUAAGACCGGGAUAACUACCGGAAACGGCAGCUAAUACCGGAUAAUCAAGUCUUCCGCAUGGGAGGCUUGGGAAAGGCGGAGCAAUCUGUCACUUACGGAUGGGCCUGCGGCGCAUUAGCUAGUUGGUGGGGUAACGGCUCACCAAGGCGACGAUGCGUAGCCGACCUGAGAGGGUGAACGGCCACACUGGGA
Molecule: ribosomal RNA, 332 nt
Filed under: Paenibacillus macerans
Lineage: Bacteria; Bacillati; Bacillota; Bacilli; Caryophanales; Paenibacillaceae
Description: bacterial SSU rRNA
Rfam family: Bacterial small subunit ribosomal RNA
Source: RNAcentral